AUGCCUACGGGACGCAGCAGUAGGGAAUCUUCCACAAUGGGCGAAAGCCUGAUGGAGCAUCGCCGCGUGGGUGAAGAAGGUCUGCGGAUCGUAAAACGCUGUUGUUAGAGAAGAAAGUGCGUGAGAGUAACUGUUCACGUUUCGACGGUAUCUAACCAGAAAGCCACGGCUAACUACGUGCCAGCAGCCGCGGUAAUACGUAGGUGGCAAGCGUUAUCCGGAUUUAUUGGGCGUAAAGGGAACGCAGGCGGUCUUUUAAGUCUGAUGUGUAAGCCUUCG
This 279-nucleotide ribosomal RNA is filed under the name uncultured bacterium. RNAcentral's name for it is "partial 16S ribosomal RNA". It matches the Rfam family "Bacterial small subunit ribosomal RNA", at positions 335 to 606 of the family's 1533-position model. The record is from RNAcentral.